UCCCGUGUGGCUCAGUUGGUAGAGCAUGGUGUUUGCAACGCCAGGGUUGUGGUUCGAUUCACACGGGGGAC
RNAcentral lists this transfer RNA (71 nucleotides) under Salmo salar (Atlantic salmon). It matches the Rfam family "tRNA". From Rfam's summary of the family: Transfer RNA (tRNA) molecules are approximately 80 nucleotides in length. Their secondary structure includes four short double-helical elements and three loops (D, anti-codon, and T loops). Lineage: Eukaryota; Metazoa; Chordata; Actinopteri; Salmoniformes; Salmonidae. The record is from Rfam by way of RNAcentral.